AAAAAAACAUCUUUUCUUGUUUUUGUAUUAUAUGUUUUUUUUUUUAAAUAGAACGAUAAAAGUGUCCUCUGAAGCAAUUUUGGUAUGGUUCAUACCUCCGCGCUUUUUAUAUUUAUAAAAGCAAUAAGUUAAUAUUAAAACGAUUCAGAUGGAAAGAAAGUAAAACUUCAAAGCUUACCAGUCCUGUACGCUGUUGAAACUUUCUUCGUUAGUAAUAUCAUACAUCAGAAUGAAGCCCAUAGCACCUCGAUAAUAGGCAGUCGUGAUGGUACGGUAGCGUUCCUGACCUGCAGUAUCCUAGAAAAAGAAAUAUAACCUUAUAACAAAUUAUCUUUUCGAGCAUGGAGUGUAUGUAGAUAGAUAUUCAUUAAAUCACUGGAAUUUAUUUAAAAAUAGCAUAGUAAGUAGUACAACAUUUCAAUUUUUCCUUUUCGAUAUAACGUAAAAAUAUUAUUCCCCUAACUUAACACCAAAAUGUGUUGCGUCAUUUAGACAUAUAUUGUCGAAAUCUAUGAAAUGUCUGAUUUAUUCAAUUACGCACCCAUAUUUGCAAUUUGACGCGCUUAUCGUGCCGGAAAACCGUUUUCACUUUGAAGUCGAUACCAACGGUAGACACAAAGGCUGAAGUGAAGGAAUCGUCUGCAUAUCGGAAGAGGAAACUGAAAAUGGGGCAAAUGAGAAAAAAUCAAUACAUUAUGUAUAAAAUACAAUUGGAAAACUUCACAAAUUUAUAACUCUAUGAAAUAUUAAUGGAAUAUCAAUAAAAUCUAAUUAGAAAGUGAAAUAAUUAAAUAAAUGGUAUGAACAUAAACAAUAAUAACGAAAAAAAAGAAGGAUGUAGAUUUUGCUGUAAAUAUAAGGUGGAACAACUCGAAUUUAAAAUUCGAAAGUACCAUUGUUUAAAACUCAUCUACUGACCUUAAACCUAUGUAAUUGUCGUUUCUCUUUGAAAUAAGGAGUCCUCUCUAAAUAAACAGUUGUCAUUUUAUAAAUGUUGUUGAUGAAAAUAGAAAUAAACUAUCAAAAGGGA
Molecule: long non-coding RNA, 1030 nt
Organism: Bombyx mori (domestic silkworm)
Lineage: Eukaryota; Metazoa; Arthropoda; Insecta; Lepidoptera; Bombycidae
Exons: 2
Source: RefSeq, a predicted model, not a curated record